Molecule: ribosomal RNA, 305 nt
Filed under: uncultured bacterium
Lineage: Bacteria
Description: bacterial SSU rRNA
Rfam family: Bacterial small subunit ribosomal RNA
Source: RNAcentral
GCCUACGGGGGGCAGCAGUAGGGAAUUUUCGUCAAUGGGCGCAAGCCUGAACGAGCAAUGCCGCGUGCACGAGGAAGGUCUUCGGAUCGUAAAGUUCUGUUGAAGGGGAAAAAGAGCGGAGAGAGGAAAUGGUCUCCGAUUGAUAUUACCCUUCGAGGAAGUCACGGCUAACUACGUGCCAGCAGCCGCGGUAAUACGUAGGUGGCGAGCGUUAUCCGGAAUGAUUGGGCGUAAAGGGUGCGUAGGCGGCCUGCUAAGUCUGGAGUGAAAGGUACCGGCUCAACCGGUACAGGCUCUGGAAACUG